RNAcentral lists this ribosomal RNA (254 nucleotides) under uncultured bacterium. RNAcentral describes it as "partial 16S ribosomal RNA". It matches the Rfam family "Bacterial small subunit ribosomal RNA", at positions 524 to 776 of the family's 1533-position model. The record is from RNAcentral.
UACGUAGGGUGUGAGCGUUAAUCGGAAUUACUGGGCGUAAAGCGUGCGCAGGCGGUCGUUCAAGUCGCGUGUGAAAGCCCCCGGCUCAACUGGGGAGGGUCACGCGAUACUGAUCGACUCGAAGGCAGGAGAGGGUAGUGGAAUUCCCGGUGUAGUGGUGAAAUGCGUAGAUAUCGGGAGGAACACCAGUGGCGAAGGCGACUACCUGGCCUGUUUCUUGACGCUGAGGCGCGAAAGCUAGGGGAGCAAACGGG